RNAcentral lists this long non-coding RNA (1790 nucleotides) under Gadus morhua (Atlantic cod). RNAcentral describes it as "lncRNA (ENSGMOG00000036242.1)". The record is from RNAcentral. Lineage: Eukaryota; Metazoa; Chordata; Actinopteri; Gadiformes; Gadidae.
AUGCCCCCCUACCUGGAGCAGAGAACUUGGGGCCCAUUCCUCAUGUUUUCCUGGCGGACAAGGCAUUCCCCUUGCGGAGAAAUCUCCUUCGCCCCUACCCUGGGCACACUCACGGGGAAAAGCGUGUUUUUAAUUACCGCCUCUCUCACGACAGGAGAAUGGUGGAGUGUACCUUCGGCAUCCUUGCGGCCCAAUGGAGGAUAUACCGGAGGGUGCUUGGUGUGUCACCACAGGCAAUUCCUGAUGACAGUGAGGCAGGCCCUAGUCAGUCAAGAAAGAGACUGCAUGAGGAAGGAGAGAAAGAAGGAAUACAGACAAAAGAAGCAGGGACAGAACAAGGAGGGAAAGGAGGAAUACAGACAGAAGAAGGGGACAUCCACAGUAGAAAAAGACAGCAUGAGGAAGGAGAGAAAGAAGGAAUGCAGACAGAAGAAGGGGACAGCCACAGUAGAAAAAGACAGCAUGAGGAAGGAGAGAAAGAAGGAAUACAGACAGAAGAAGCAGGGACAGAACAAGGAGGGAAAGAAGGAAUACAGACAGAAGAAGGGGACAGCCACAGUAGAAAAAGACAGCAUGAGGAAGGAGAGAAAGAAGGAAUCCAGACAGAAGAAGCAGGGACAGAACAAGGAGGGAAAGAAGGAAUACAGACAGAAGAAAGGGACAGCCACAGUAGAAAAAGACAGCAUGAGGAAGGAGAGAAAGAAGGAAUACAGACAGAAGAAGCAGGGACAGAACAUGGAGGGAAAGAAGGAAUACAGACAGAUGAAGGGACAGCCACAGUAGAAAAAGACAGCAUGAGGAAGGAGAGAAAGAAGGAAUACAGACAGAAGAAGCAGGGACAGAACAAGGAGGGACAGGAGGUGACACAGAUGGAAAGGAAGUUGACAUGAUAAUGACAUAUACAAAGCCAAAUCAACCUGACCCUAAAGUUUUUCAAAAACAAGUGCUCAAAGACCGGACACUGACAUUCCAAAAAGCAUGGUAUGAGAAGUUUCCCUGGCUUCAUGUUAGUAUGUGUACUGAUGGUGUUCUGUGUUUUCACUGCUCUAAAUACUUUAAGACAGGGAAACCAGCACAGGCCAAGAGUAUAGACCCAGCCUUUGUCAAUGCUGGAUUUAAAAACUGGAAAAAAGCACUUGAAAGAUGUUCCAUGCAUGAGAAAUCAGAUGGUCACAAACUGGCUGUUACAACUGCUGCAUAUGAAAACAGGCCAGUUACUACACAGUUGAGCAGUGCAGUCAGUACACAACAGGCAGAAAACAGAACUAGCCUGUUAAAAAUAAUAGGAGCUGAGAUGUUUCUGGCGAGGCAGGGAUUGGCCUUUAGAAGGCAUGGACAUCAUCAAGGUAACCUUGACCAGCUUCUGAAAUACAAAGCUGUAGAUGAUCAGUCAUUCAGUAGCUGGUGUGGCAUCCCGCCCCUGAAGCCUCGGCCUGAACGGUCCCGUGGGACCGUGAAGGACGGGGUGUACCACCCCCACCCACCAGCCGGCGACGGAGAGCACCGGGUCCUUCCCCCCAAUCAGGGUGAUUGGGGGACACCUGGCCGAAAACAGAGGAGCCAUUUUAAGUGGAGGUCCAGACCAAGAGCACGGCAGAGGCAGAGACACGCAUGGACUGCAGAGGCUUGAGGCUCACGGAGACCCAAGCGCACCCUUAUCCUGUCUUUGAUAAUUGCAAUAAACACCGAAGUCGGCUUAAACCAACCGUUGCCACGUGCUUUCCUGAAUCACGGCACAUUCUCCAAGCCGGAUACCACAUAUGGUGGAGCAUGCAGACAUUCUGAGCGUU